RNAcentral lists this ribosomal RNA (468 nucleotides) under uncultured bacterium. RNAcentral describes it as "partial 16S ribosomal RNA". It matches the Rfam family "Bacterial small subunit ribosomal RNA", at positions 28 to 507 of the family's 1533-position model. The record is from RNAcentral.
GACGAACGCUGGCGGCGUGCUUAACACAUGCAAGUCGAACGGAAAGGCCCUGCUUUUGUGGGGUGCUCGAGUGGCGAACGGGUGAGUAACACGUGAGUAACCUGCCCUUGACUUUGGGAUAACUUCAGGAAACUGGGGCUAAUACCGGAUAGGAGCUCCUGCUGCAUGGUGGGGGUUGGAAAGUUUCGGCGGUUGGGGAUGGACUCGCGGCUUAUCAGCUUGUUGGUGGGGUAGUGGCUUACCAAGGCUUUGACGGGUAGCCGGCCUGAGAGGGUGACCGGCCACAUGAGGACUGAGAUACGGCGCAGACUCCUACGGGAGGCAGCAGUGGGGAAUAUUGCACAAUGGGCGGAAGCCUGAUGCAGCAACGCCGCGUGCGGGAUGACGGCCUUCGGGUUGUAAACCGCUUUCGCCUGUGACGAAGCGUGAGUGACGGUAAUGGGUAAAGAAGCACCGGCUAACUACGUG